This is a non-coding RNA of Paramormyrops kingsleyae, 4050 nucleotides long. The record is from RefSeq and is a predicted model, not a curated record. Lineage: Eukaryota; Metazoa; Chordata; Actinopteri; Osteoglossiformes; Mormyridae.
GGUGCCAUUGCUUGGCUUUGAGCCUCAGUGGAUGAGUUUUGCUGCUAAGGCGUGUGGCUCAGCGGGUUCGGACUCUUAAUCACAAGGCUGCCAGGUUAAAUCCUGUGGUUGACACAAUGGUUUCCCUCUUUAGCCCCUGAGAAAGGCCCUUAAGAUUCAAGAUUUUUUAUUGUUCACACAGUGUGGUGUUUAUUUUCCCCGAACUUUGAGGCUCAUCUCUUCUGUUUACUAUAAGUGACAAAGAGCCAGCUGGGUGUGUGGAGUCUUGAUGGCAUUUGUGUAGAUUUAAUUACCUUUUUUUUAGCAUUUGGACAUCCUCUGCGCAGCAGCAAUGAUGCUGUACAAAUGUUUGUAUAUAGCCCCAGACUCCAGGUUCCAAAUACAGGGCUACAGACUAUUUUUUCCCACUAAUAGCACUAGUGAUCCUAACUGAAACUUAAAAGCACUACCAAAAAAAAAGGUGCACUACUUAACUACCUGGAGACAGGGCAUCAUGAGUGAUGUAGUUAAAGUGUCUGUUUAUGACUGGUCAAUCUUUAUAGAAUCAUGAAAAACGAUGACCAAAUGCAUAAUAAUUUUUCAAAACUCCUAUUGCCAGAUUCACUUUUUUGCCGAUUUAACUUUAUUGUAAAAGCUGUCACGUUACUUAGUUUUACCUGAAUCGUGGGCAUGAAGUACUGCCCUCACCUUGAGGAUCUGUAUUCACGUCGUACGUGUACAUCUAUGGUAAUACAGUACAUGGUAAUUAUCCUCGUUGUUUCUGCGAGUGUGACGCAAUGCAGAUUUAUCUCCAUGGUGUCACCACAAUAAAACGUGAUCCUGGUGGAAACUCAAUCUAACACAUUCCACUCUGGACAGGAACAGAAGGCACCACAGGCUUUUUGGAAAUUGGCUUGGUCCAGCUGUAGAUGACCUCAGUGCUUUUUUUAACCGUAAUUAUGUGUGUAAAGUUGAGAAUUUUACUGUACAUGUGCUUAUCAUAAUUAUAUUUUGCUCAUUCUGUGGUUGGUUACAGAUUCACUAAUAUAGUCUAAAUAAAAUCAAAAUCUACUACUGAAAUCGUAUUCUAUAAAUCAUAAUUUAGCAUCAUUGUAAUUAAACAUCACAAAAAUAUGUAUAGACGAAAACUGACCUGUACCCCACCUUGGAACAUCGGUCAAACAGGAUGACGCUGGUUCAAGAUGAGAAAAAGAUGACCUUCCCCAAACCCCCAAGACAACUGCUGGACCAAUCCACUGCCCCGGCCUUUGCAGAAAGAUGCCUCUGUGCCGAUGGGAUUCCAGCACCGUCCCACCAGCAGUGCCUGGGGACAUUGGUUGCAACACUUGUGUAGGCUGGGCAAGUCCAAGGAGCUCAGAAGUCUGAGGCAUCCUCAUCCACCAAGUUUCCCUCCUCCAUCCAGUCCUCCUCCACCUCACAGCUGCCCUUCAUCAAAGCACUGUCUCACACCAAGGCGUCCUCCUCCAAGGCAACCUGCACUACCCAGUCACUGUCCUCCUCCCAUACCUCCUCCCCCACCCAGCUGACUCCUCUCAGGCACCCACCUACAGAUCUUCACCCAGCAAGGAGCCUCUGCCCUCAGUGAAGCUGAAGGAGUCCACAGCCCUAAAGAGCCUUUGUCCACUGUCUGCACCUUUUCUGUCAAAUCAUUUCCCAAGCAAUAUUCUUGUAUGUAAACAGAUUGUACAUAGUAAUGAAACUAUGUAUUACUAUGUAGUAAUGUGCUGUGUGUACACAACUACACAUACAUAACCAUUUGCAUAAAUAUGUAUUUAAGUAUAAUAUUCCAGCAGGCAGAUCAGCCCGUGCCCUUGAUUUUAUAUGGGGAUCGGGGGUGUCGCCGGGCACAGGGACCGACCAGCUCUUGGGUGGACAGUGGAAUGGUGGUGCGGUUGGACAUAUUUCACUGGAGACAUCGGUUUGAUGCAGCCGUCCAUACUGACAGCCAUUCCAAAUACACCACUUUCAAGUCUGCACUCGCUGGAGGAGUCCUGGCCUACAAUCGAGAAGAUCUGGAGCUCCUCAUCAAAGCUGUCAGGGCACAGAAUUCUGUGAUGUUUGCAUCCCUUUCAGACGAAGGUGUUGUUCGCCUCCAUGUGUCCCGGGCGCAGCUCAAGCCCCAUGUGCGGAGAGUUACACUCGGGGUGCAGGAGUCAUUCCACCUGAUCCAGACAGCCAUCGAUGAGCUGAAAGGCCCCCAGUGGGCUGGAUGAAAAUGGAGUCAGCCUCUUCAAAUCACCUGGAGCCGUAGAUGAGGUGUGGCCGUCCCAUCAGGGACACGAUGGAGGGCAUACAGGACCCUCCAGGAACGAGCAUGUAUAAAGGGGCUCGCUCUACCACCAUCAGUGGUGUAGACGUUCCAUUUCGUGGUUUCAUGUUCCUUCGUGGUAGCAACAGCCUGGAGAGUUUCCACAAAGUACUGCCCAACAUGAUUCCAGGUAAGAUGUAUUAUAAUUAUAUGUCACGAAUAAAUUUGACAAUUCAGCCACUUAAACACCACCUCCUUUCCUAUGAUGUCAUGAAGCUGCCAGUUGAGACAGCUUUUUCAAACCAGUUAGUUUUCUCUCCAUUUCAGUGCAUCUUGUCAUCUCAGGUCCCCUCUGUGCCACACGGCCCUUUCAGGUCUACCUGAUUAGCAGUAUCGCCCGCUGGAACUCGGACAGGUCGUCAGAUGCCGUUUAUGGUGGCAAAGGUUGGCAUCACUUGGCAAAGGUCGGCACCACUGAUUGCCAGGUUGAACGCCUGCAGCCAGCAACUGUUUGGGGAGACUGUGGAGAAGAACUUCUGUGCCCCUGCUGCUGUGACAUCGAAUGAGCUGCUUGCGCUGGAGUACCUCUUCAGUCAGAGCACAGGGGAAUCGGGUCUGUUCACGUUCAAAGACCUGUCAAGUGACGGACUUGCUGAAGAGGUGAUUGAGGUUGGCCAGCUUGACCCGGGUGAGGAAGACUAGGCUUACGAGACUCACCAGCAGUGAGACCAGCGAAACCAACCCUCCUGCUUUUGUCUCAAUUGUUUCAGGAUUAUGUAUGUAUGGUUAAUUUUCAUGCAGUCACUUCAGCUGCACAAGUUAAAUUAUUACAUUCUAUUUUUUAACAGGAGAAUGUCUGUCUUCUUGUCUCCUGCCUGGAUACAGGCAGCUGGAAACCUGCUCUCUGCUGGUAGACAUUGGUCUGACUGAGCACCACUUAACACUGACCUCAGAACAGAGGAGCAGUUUGACGCCUGGAAUGCCAUGGAGGAACACAAGCAGCCCCAGAGGGUUAACCAGCUGUACAAAACGCACUGGGGAAACAGUCUGUACUGCUGCACCAAGCGGGGUGAUCUUGUUGAGGCUGGCAUGAUUCAGCGAGUUAAGAUGGAGAAACGCUACAUGCCAGCUCAACAAGACAUCAGUGCGCAGAACAACUGGCUAAUGUACAAGCUGGUUAAACUGCUUUGGUUGAGGCUAUCUGGAAAUUGACAGUCCAGCCCUGGGAAAAAAAAACAAAUCGUAAAAGCUUACGAGAAGAUUCAGCACAGGGUUUUGGUGAAGGAUCCGGUGCUGAGCAAAAUGGGCAUCCCUUUGCCAAAAAUGAACACGAAAGACGGUGUGUGACUUUAACCGCCAGCAAGAGUGACAGAAUUCAGUCAACCAAGAUGCCUCUGAGCAUUUCAAGCAUAACAUCAGUAUCGUCGACACCUUCCUCCAGCACCAAGCCAACCACCAGUUCUCCCUCCCGAAUUAUACUGAAGUUGAGUACAGCUCGAUGCACAGCAAAGCAGGGACCAAGGCGUUGAGAGAUGUUUUCAUGCCUACAAAAAAGAUGGCACUCAUGUCUCAUGAGGUCUUCUUCUGCAACAGGGAAGAAAAUGCCAGCCACCUCCAGCAUCAUCAAACCCACAUCGGCAGUCAGAUCGACAAGCACUAUGCCAACAUUAAUGCCCGCCAGCCAGACAGACACCACACAGCUGGAAUGCUCCUACUCAAGAGCCACAGACUACAAAAGAAAGCAUGCCGGUCAACUAAUGGAUGCUGGUGCGAAACUGUCACAAGUUCAAAACUUACCCAUC